AGUAAGUUCCACAUUUUGCACUCUCUCGUCUCUUAACCUCUUCUCCUUCUCUCAAACGCGUGAUUUACCUCUGCCUCCACCGUCCUUGCCCCCGCCGGAGCCGUCCUUGCCGCUCUUGUUUUUUGUUCCUUCGUGCACGGUUCUUGCCCUCUUAACCUCUGCUCCAUCUCUCAAAAGCUUGUUGCACCUCGUCUCGUGCCUCCACCAUCCUUGCCGCCGCCGGAGCCGUCCUUGUCGCUGCCUCCAUCCCUGCUGCGUCGUUGCCGCUCUUGUUUUGUGUCCCUUAGUGCACGGUUCGUUGCCCUGUUCUUAGAGUUCAAAAGCACUCCAUUGUUCCUCUCCUCAAGCAAUUUUCUUCUUCCUCAUAAGGAAAUACUUUGAUCUGGGUUGUGAAGGUUCAUCGAUCAACUUCUGGUAGGAGUGUUCCCAAAGCAAAACAAAACUAUGUUCUGUGGGAUAUUAUCGAGUGCCCUCGUUAGACUAAUAAUGUUGAUUGAGGAUAUUAUGUGAUGAAGUUCAUGAAAGAUAUAAUCACUCACCAACAACUUAUGAUCCCAACGAGGUAUUUUGAUGAUUAUCAGUUCAAAUCCUAUGAUGGAGAGCAAUUGCGUGAAGUUAAAGAUGAGUGGGUCGCUUAUGUAUUUAACAAUUUUUUUUAGUAGUUAAUCUAUUAGAUAACUAUUAGAUAGUGGUAGAUGAAGUUUAAGGACGUGGUUGAUUAUGCACUUUAGAAAUUGUUUCAGAUUUAUGAAGCUUUUGUAUAUAUAUAUUGGUAGAUAUGCUGAAGUUUAGAGAAAAAGAAGCUUUAAGGACGUGGUAUGAAGCUUUUGUAGAAAUUGUUUCAAUUUUAUGAUUGAAUGUUGAUAUAGUUUUAGAAA
Long non-coding RNA from Lotus japonicus, 878 nucleotides. RefSeq lists it as uncharacterized. NCBI's taxonomy places the organism in Eukaryota, Viridiplantae, Streptophyta, Magnoliopsida, Fabales, Fabaceae. The record is from RefSeq and is a predicted model, not a curated record. The transcript has 4 exons.